GUCAUGUCACCUGCUGCCGCGUGACGUCACAGGCUGCAGCUUCGCGCGUGCAGUGAAAUCCGAGCCCAAGCCCGCCUGAGCUGCUGUACCGCUCUUGUUUACAGAAGCUACCUGCCCACAACACAAGCUGUCGCUUGGUCUGAUGGAGCAAAGGCACUCAGCACAGCUCGGUACGGCAAGGCAACAAUGCGACCAGCGUG
Lethenteron reissneri (Far Eastern brook lamprey) is the source of this 200-nucleotide long non-coding RNA. RefSeq lists it as uncharacterized. Lineage: Eukaryota; Metazoa; Chordata; Hyperoartia; Petromyzontiformes; Petromyzontidae. The record is from RefSeq and is a predicted model, not a curated record.